GAUGAACGCUGGCGGCGUGCCUAAUACAUGCAAGUCGAGCGAAUGGAUUAAGAGCUUGCUCUUAUGAAGUUAGCGGCGGACGGGUGAGUAACACGUGGGUAACCUGCCCAUAAGACUGGGAUACCUCCGGGAAACCGGGGCUAAUACCGGAUAACAUUUUGAACCGCAUGGUUCGAAAUUGAAAGGCGGCUUCGGCUGUCACUUAGGGCUGGACCCGCGUCGCAUUAGCUAGUUGGUGAGGUAACGGCUCACCAAGGCAACGAUGCGUAGCCGACCGGAGAGGGUGAUCGGCCACACUGGGACUGAGACACGGCCCAGACUCCUACGGGAGGCAGCAGUAGGGAAUCUUCCGAAAUGGACGAAAGUCUGACGGAGCAACGCCGCGUGAGUGAUGAAGGCUUUCGGGUCGUAAAACUCUGUUGUUAGGGAAGAACAAGUGCUAGUUGAAUAAGCUGGCACCUUGACGGUACCUAACCAGAAAGCCACGGCUAACUACGUGCCAGCCGCCGCCGUAA
This 515-nucleotide ribosomal RNA is filed under the name uncultured bacterium. RNAcentral describes it as "partial 16S ribosomal RNA". It matches the Rfam family "Bacterial small subunit ribosomal RNA", at positions 28 to 523 of the family's 1533-position model. The record is from RNAcentral.